CUGUACAAAGGCAUCAGAGGGGGACCAGGUGGCCCAGGAGAGAGAUAUCCGGGCAGACCUUGGGAGAGAAGGAGCCCUUUCCUCUGGCUUCUCAUUCCAAUUCCUUCAAGGGAGGAAUGUCCUACCAAAAGUGGGCAGGCGGCUUCCAGGACCUGGCUGUGGAAGGUCCAGACUCUAGCCUGGAGCGAUAGGGGAUGGUCUAAAACCAUGUGGACCACCUGGAAGGUACGGAGGCUUUGACAAGGUAAAUGCAAGCUAGCAGCACCCUCCCCUUGCAUCUGGAGAGACAGGGAGAAGACACAUUUCAGGAUUGAGAAGAAUCUAGAACCCGUCAAGACCAGCGGUCCACAAAGCUGGUCUCUGCACGG
This 368-nucleotide long non-coding RNA is filed under the name Mustela putorius furo (domestic ferret). RNAcentral's name for it is "lncRNA (ENSMPUG00000029412.1)". Lineage: Eukaryota; Metazoa; Chordata; Mammalia; Carnivora; Mustelidae. The record is from RNAcentral.